Vicia faba (fava bean) is the source of this 282-nucleotide non-coding RNA. The record is from the annotation of a GenBank genome assembly. Lineage: Eukaryota; Viridiplantae; Streptophyta; Magnoliopsida; Fabales; Fabaceae.
AUGUGUAUAUUUGCUAUGUAUGCAACAUACAGGUCGUCAAUGAAACAUCAUGGCUGGCAGGAUGAAUCUAUAGUAAGUAUUCUUUUAGGAAACAAUUCCAAGCAUAUAGGGUUCUCCCUUUUCUCUAAACAUAACAUGGUUUGGUUUCCUGCCGGUCUGCAUUUGGAAGAGCAGGACAUCAUGAACAUCAUGCAACACUUGAAAGUGGUAGAACAUUAUGAACAUCAUGCAACACUUGACGAAUAUCAUAGUUACAUAAACUGGUGUAGUAAAAAUUUCUGA